Molecule: unclassified non-coding RNA, 475 nt
Filed under: Hevea brasiliensis (rubber tree)
Lineage: Eukaryota; Viridiplantae; Streptophyta; Magnoliopsida; Malpighiales; Euphorbiaceae
Source: RNAcentral
UCCAAUCUUUCUCUUCAUUCUUGCCCAGAUUAAUGGCGCGGCUUUGUUAUCCUCAUUGAAGCCAUGCUCCUCUGAGAGACGCCACCAACAGGCAACAGCUACAAAAUUAGACUUCAAACGCACCGUCAUGUCACACCCCACCACUACCCCAUCUCGCUUCAGAGUCAAUUCUAAAGCCAAGGACUCGCCAAAACCAGAGCUCGCUAAUGGGUCACUGUCACCAGCCAAUCAAGCAAGAGCAAAAUCUGUACCCCCAGAUGUAAAGAAACACUCCAAGAUGAAGAGGUCUCUGCUGCUGAACAAACCCAAAUCUGGAGAGGAUGUGAUAGGAUCUCAAAAGGCUAGGGACAACGAGGAUGUUAGAGUGGUGGCUCGAUCUGUGAAUCGCCCAGUUGUGGAGCAAUUUGCUAGGCCAAGGCGGCAGCGGCCUGUGGAUUCUACUGCUACGAGAAAUGAACAAGAGACCAAAAAGGAA